GCCUAUUCAGGCCCGGUACUAUCAUGGCAAUUGAGUAAUUUUCACAAUCUGGCAUUAAAGCAAUAUGUACACAGAGAAUACAAUAUUUCAUUACACAGGAAUUGUUCAACACAUAGGAGCACAUCUGGUACUGUCCUAACAAUGUCUACAUAAUUUGCCUUAUCUCACUACUACAUAACAUUGUUGAACACGUAGGAGCACAUCUGGUACUGGCCUAACAAUGUCUUCAUUGCUCGAACUUGCCUUCCUACAAGAACAGAACAUUACAUGAAUAGAUCAAUCGAGAAGGAAACAGUAAAACAGGCUGAAAGCAUCACACAUACAAAUAAUAACAGCAUACAUUAAUGUAUAAAAUAAUAAAAAAUAUCUAUAACCAAGGCUAUUUCUAGCCAACCCGUGUGCAUGAAUCAUAAUAGAUCAAGCAAAAGACGUAUAAUCAUCAGCAAACAGCAAAUAUUAGUGAAAGGGGACAAUUUCUAGUACUCAUCAUUUUUGCAAAGUGAGCAAGAACGAUGAUAUUUUCCUACACAUACUUUCUGAUUUUUCCUUAGUCCUAUAGUGAUCUGCUCACUCCAAUUCUAUCUACUCAACCCAUUCACAUGCAACAUGGAUAAUCAACUAGCCUCAUCAUUUGAAGAAUCUAGUCAAAUAAGGAAUUAGAAUGCAACAUGGAUAACUAUGCCCUAUGAAACAGUUCACGUAUCAAGAACCAUCAAAGUAAAUAAGGAACUGGUAUAGAACACCAACUCGAUCACCUUCACAACAAUGAAAUCAUGGAUAAUUCUUAUAUUUAAUUGAAGUUCUCUAAGCUUCUUCCCCCAUUGAAAGCAGUCCACAAAAUAAUUGAGAAGAAGGUCAGUGCCAAAAUUCAAACCAUAUAAUUUCUUGCUAAUCUCAUAUACUGUUAAAGAUGUAUUUUGUUGUAAGAUUUUAGCGCUAGUACACAAGACAUAAAAAGGUACCAAAAAUCCUUAGUGAUCUGAAGCAGCAAACAAAAUUUAAACACAGGCAAUGCAUGCCAUAGUAAUAGCAGCACAAACAGAGAAAUGCAAAAGGCACCUCAUACUAGUAUGGUGAUCUUCGUCGCAAAUUUUAAGCUCUGUUUCAUGUAGAUAAUUUAUUUGGUUUCAGUAAACAACAGGAUGUAGUAUAUAUGAAGGGUUAUUGGUUGCAUAACACCUGAACUAAUCCUCCAUCUAGGGGGGAUUGCAACAGGUUCCUAUAGUACACUAGAUAGGCCAACAUUUUAGACUACUAGUACCUAGAAAUCAUAUGCAACUCUGUUUUUUUCUCUAGCCCAGCUAGAAGAUCAUAAGAGAAAUAGUAAGUAUCUAGUGCGUCGUGGUGCCUUCAUCUGGAGUCACAGGUCGAGUUGUGGGCUGCUGCUUUGCUUCUCCAUAUAGCACACCAGGUUCUCCUAAGAUAGCAAACUGAAAACACAAAACAUGAUUAGGGAGUUGGUACAAAAAGGAAUUCAUGCAUGAAUGGCAUGUACAACUAAAAAAAUCAGGCAUCACAUAUUAUUAGAAUUGCAUAUUAGAUGGCUGCAAGGCAAGUGUUUCUUCAUAAAAAUUACUAGAAAUACGUAGCCCCUAACUAUGCUGUAAGGAUGGUUCUUUUAAAAAAAGAAUCUAUAAGGAGCUUGACUGGAGCGGCUGACUCUAAUUGUUAUGAUUUGUUGCUUCUGAAUCACCACAGUGCUCAAAAGGGAAUCAUAAUAGUAGAUGAUAGUUCAACUUCUGGUUAUGAUGUUUCUUGUCCAUUUAGUUAACUUGCACAAAUAAAUUCGAACAUGUUGCUGGAUGGCUUGCAGCUUAUAAAAAAAGCACUUGAAGCAACAAUUAAAUCACCGUAUAUAAUUGAAGGG
Molecule: long non-coding RNA, 1867 nt
Filed under: Triticum aestivum (bread wheat)
Lineage: Eukaryota; Viridiplantae; Streptophyta; Magnoliopsida; Poales; Poaceae
Description: long non-coding RNA (TAES_LNC003142)
Source: RNAcentral